Molecule: ribosomal RNA, 301 nt
Filed under: uncultured bacterium
Lineage: Bacteria
Description: partial 16S ribosomal RNA
Rfam family: Bacterial small subunit ribosomal RNA
Source: RNAcentral
CAGUAGCCGCGGGAAUACGGAGGGUGCAAGCGUUAUCCGGAUUUAUUGGGUUUAAAGGGUCCGUAGGCGGAUCUGUAAGUCAGUGGUGAAAUCUCACAGCUUAACUGUGAAACUGCCAUUGAUACUGCAGGUCUUGAGUAAAUUUGAAGUGGCUGGAAUAAGUAGUGUAGCGGUGAAAUGCAUAGAUAUUACUUAGAACACCAAUUGCGAAGGCAGGUCACUAAGAUUUAACUGACGCUGAUGGACGAAAGCGUGGGGAGCGAACAGGAUUAGAUACCCCCGUAGUCCCUGUCUCUUAUAA